This 594-nucleotide ribosomal RNA is filed under the name uncultured bacterium. RNAcentral's name for it is "bacterial SSU rRNA". It matches the Rfam family "Bacterial small subunit ribosomal RNA", at positions 61 to 650 of the family's 1533-position model. The record is from RNAcentral.
GUCGAGCGGUAGAGAGGUGCUUGCACCUCUUGAGAGCGGCGGACGGGCGAGUAAAGCCUAGGAAUCUGCCUGGUAGUGGGGGAUAACGCUCGGAAACGGACGCUAAUACCGCAUACGUCCUACGGGAGAAAGCAGGGGACCUUCGGGCCUUGCGCUAUCAGAUGAGCCUAGGUCGGAUUAGCUAGUUGGUGAGGUAAUGGCUCACCAAGGCGACGAUCCGUAACUGGUCUGAGAGGAUGAUCAGUCACACUGGAACUGAGACACGGUCCAGACUCCUACGGGAGGCAGCAGUGGGGAAUAUUGGACAAUGGGCGAAAGCCUGAUCCAGCCAUGCCGCGUGUGUGAAGAAGGUCUUCGGAUUGUAAAGCACUUUAAGUUGGGAGGAAGGGCAUUAACCUAAUACGUUAGUGUUUUGACGUUACCGACAGAAUAAGCACCGGCUAACUCUGUGCCAGCAGCCGCGGUAAUACAGAGGGUGCAGGCGUUAAUCGGAAUUACUGGGCGUAAAGCGCGCGUAGGUGGUUCGUUAAGUUGGAUGUGAAAUCCCCGGGCUCAACCUGGGAACUGCAUUCAAAACUGUCGAGCUAGAGUAUG